RNAcentral lists this transfer RNA (68 nucleotides) under Anisolampra panfilovi. RNAcentral's name for it is "tRNA-Cys". The record is from RNAcentral. Lineage: Eukaryota; Metazoa; Arthropoda; Insecta; Blattodea; Blaberidae.
AGCUUUAUAUUCAUAGAAAAAAUGAUUGUAGAAUGCAAUUCUAUAGGUGUAGAAGACUACUAAGGCUU